CGGCAACAGCUCAGAUUUGAAAUCUGGCCCUCUAUGGGGUCCGAGUUGUAAUCUGUAGAGGAUGCUUUUGGCGACGCGCCUUCCGAGUCCCCUGGAACGGGGCGCCAGAGAGGGUGAGAGCCCCGUAUGGUUGGACGCCGAACCUCUGUAAAGCUCCUUCGACGAGUCGAGUAGUUUGGGAAUGCUGCUCAAAAUGGGAGGUAAAUUUCUUCUAAAGCUAAAUACCGGCCAGAGACCGAUAGCGCACAAGUAGAGUGAUCGAAAGAUGAAAAGCACUUUGAAAAGAGGGUCAAAUAGCACGUGAAAUUGCUGAAAGGGAAGCGCUUGUGACCAGACUUGCGCCCGGUUGAUCAUCCAGCGUUCUCGCUGGUGCACUCUGCCGGGCUCAGGCCAGCAUCGGCUCUCCCAGGGGGAUAAAGGUCGCGGGAACGUAGCUCUCUCCGGGGAGUGUUAUAGCCCGUGGCGGAAUGCCCUUAGGGGGGGCCGAGGCCCGCGUUCGCAAGGAUGCUGGCGUAAUGGUCACCAGCGACCCGUCUUGAAACACGGACCAAGGAGUCAAGCAUUAGGGCGAGUCUUUGGGUGCAAAACCCGCAGGCGCAAUGAAAGUGAACGGAGGUGAGAGCUUCGGCGCAUCAUCGACCGAUCCUGAUGUUCUCGGAUGGAUUUGAGUAAGAGCCUUACCGCUUGGACCCGAAAGAUGGUGAACUAUGCCUGAAUAGGGUGAAGCCAGAGGAAACUCUGGUGGAGGCUCGCAGCGGUUCUGACGUGCAAAUCGAUCGUCAAAUUUGGGCAUGGGGGCGAAAGACUAAUCGAACCAUUAACAGUAUACUAGGUGGUUAAGAGGCCUGGUUGGCAAAGAUUAGGCCUAGUUGUCAGCGCUUAUAGCGUC
This 889-nucleotide ribosomal RNA is filed under the name Distoseptispora fluminicola. RNAcentral describes it as "LSU rRNA". It matches the Rfam family "Eukaryotic large subunit ribosomal RNA", at positions 99 to 1017 of the family's 3401-position model. Lineage: Eukaryota; Fungi; Ascomycota; Sordariomycetes; Distoseptisporaceae. The record is from RNAcentral.